RNAcentral lists this long non-coding RNA (383 nucleotides) under Vombatus ursinus (common wombat). Its description in RNAcentral is "lncRNA (ENSVURG00010019807.1)". Lineage: Eukaryota; Metazoa; Chordata; Mammalia; Diprotodontia; Vombatidae. The record is from RNAcentral.
GGUGGUUCGUGACUUUGAAUCAAGAGGCAGAGUCUGGCAGUGCGUCCGCAACCAGCGGUCGGCCUCAGACCCAGAGAUGCUUGCUGCCAGGUAUUAAUGAUGAGCCGGCUGGCUGCUCCAUGGAGCCAAGCCGGGGAUGCCGGCAUGGCCUCGGCCUGGCCUGUCACCAUCACCCUCAUCCACCAUCUGGAGAAGAACGUGAUGGCUUUUCCAGGAGGCGAAAAAUCACAAAAACCUGAGAGAUCUGGAAGGGCCUGGUGUAAGCAGCGCCGUCGGAAGUGUGUGGUAAGCCAGGGAACCUAACCAGCAGAGGGGAGGAAGGGGAGUGCUCCAGGCUAAAGGUACAGCUUGUGCAAAGACCAGCAGGCAGGAGACGGCUCUUC